RNAcentral lists this long non-coding RNA (240 nucleotides) under Carica papaya (papaya). RNAcentral's name for it is "long non-coding RNA (CPAP_LNC012263)". Lineage: Eukaryota; Viridiplantae; Streptophyta; Magnoliopsida; Brassicales; Caricaceae. The record is from RNAcentral.
AAAAAUAUGGUAAAUAGAGAGAAGAGUGAUGUGCGAGUACGGAUAUAGCUGGGAAGAGAAGCGGAGGGCGAGUAGUAGGAUUUGCCCACUCUCGUUAGUAGUUAUAGUAGGCCAUCCAAUCCGUCAAUCUUAUACUCCAUGCUUCCUAUGACCCUCAACUUCACGCCCUCAGACUCUCUCAGCUCCAAAUCAAAACGAUCAGUUUUGAGUUUCCAAGAACCGUUCUAAUUCUCUCUCUUA